Molecule: ribosomal RNA, 442 nt
Filed under: uncultured bacterium
Lineage: Bacteria
Description: partial 16S ribosomal RNA
Rfam family: Bacterial small subunit ribosomal RNA
Source: RNAcentral
CCUACGGGUGGCAGCAGUGGGGAAUAUUGGGCAAUGGGCGCAAGCCUGACCCAGCAACGCCGCGUGAAGGAUGAAGGCUUUCGGGUUGUAAACUUCUUUUAAGGGGGAAGAGCAGAAGACGGUACCUCUUGAAUAAGCCACGGCGAACUACGUGCCAGCAGCCGCGGUAAUAAGUAGGUGGCAAGCGUUGUCCGGAAUUACUGGGGGUAAAGGGCGUGCAACCGGGCUGACAAGUCAGAUGUGAAAUCCCGUGGCUCAACCACGGAACUGCAUUUGAAACUGGCGGUCUUGAGUAUCGGAGAGGCAGGCGGAAUUCCUAGUGUAGCGGUGAAAUGCGUAGAUAUGAGGAGGAACACCAGUGGCGAAGGCGGCCUGCUGGACGACAACUGACGGUGAGGCGCGAAAGCGUGGGGAGCAAACAGGAUUAGAUACCCCUGUAGUC